RNAcentral lists this non-coding RNA (171 nucleotides) under Helianthus annuus (common sunflower). Lineage: Eukaryota; Viridiplantae; Streptophyta; Magnoliopsida; Asterales; Asteraceae. The record is from RNAcentral.
GAGAGCCGUAUGAGAUGAAAUCUCAUGUACGGUUUGUAACGGAGAUUCUUUGAUUGAAUGGACGCGUAACGGAUGUCGCUCAAUCCGAAGGAAUUAUGCGGAGCUUUACAGAUUAUUAUGAAGUAUUGCGAUAGAAAUUGAUCCCUAUUGACCGAAGUUAUCUACUCUAAC